AGCGAACGCUGGCGGCAGGCCUAACACAUGCAAGUCGAGCGCUCGUAGCAAUACGAGAGCGGCAGACGGGAGAGUAACACGUGGGAACGUGCCCUUCGGUUCGGAAUAACUCAGGGAAACUUGAGCUAAUACCGGAUACGCCCUUACGGGAAAGAUUUAUUGCCGAAGGAGCGGCCCGCGUCUGAUUAGCUAGUUGGUGAGGUAACGGCUCACCAAGGCGACGAUCAGUAGCUGGUCUGAGAGGAUGACCAGCCUCACUGGGACUGAGACACGGCCCAGACUCCUACGGGAGGGCAGCAGUGGGGAAUAUUGGACAAUGGGCGCAAGCCUGAUCCAGCCAUGCCGCGUGGAUGAUGAAGGCCCUAGGGUUGUAAAGUCCUUUCAGCGGGGAAGAUAAUGACGGUACCCGCAGAAGAAGCCCCGGC
Molecule: ribosomal RNA, 425 nt
Filed under: uncultured bacterium
Lineage: Bacteria
Description: bacterial SSU rRNA
Rfam family: Bacterial small subunit ribosomal RNA
Source: RNAcentral